AACGCACCUUGCGCUCCCUGGUAUUCCGGGGAGCAUGCCUGUUUGAGUGUCAUGGAAUUCUCAACUUCUAAUACUUUUUUGUAUCAGAAGCUUGGAUUUGGAGGCUCGUGCUGGCUCUCUCGUUAGAGUCGGCUCCUCUUAAAUGAAUUAGCGUGAAUCACUAUGGAUCGCUUCGGUGUGAUAAUUAUCUGCGCCGUAGUCGUGAAGUAUUAAUAAAAGUUCUCGCUUCUAAUCGUCCUUCACGGGACAAUUAACCCUGACUUUUUGACCUCAAAUCAGGUAGGACUACCCGCUGAACUUAA
This 302-nucleotide non-coding RNA is filed under the name uncultured fungus. RNAcentral's name for it is "eukaryotic LSU rRNA". The stretch from base 1 to 52 matches the Rfam family "5.8S ribosomal RNA", at positions 103 to 154 of the family's 154-position model. RNAcentral also lists the same sequence under 1 other name. Lineage: Eukaryota; Fungi. The record is from RNAcentral.